RNAcentral lists this ribosomal RNA (381 nucleotides) under uncultured eukaryote. RNAcentral's name for it is "SSU rRNA". It matches the Rfam family "Eukaryotic small subunit ribosomal RNA", at positions 587 to 973 of the family's 1831-position model. The record is from RNAcentral.
AGCUCCAAUAGCGUAUAUUAAAGUUGUUGCGGUAAAAAAGCUCGUAGUUGGAUUUCUGUUGAGAAUGGGCGGUCCAUACCACGUAUGCGCAUCUGCUUCAGUCUCGGCAUCCUUUCGUAUGUCCUCACUGCGCUUGAUUGCGUGGUAGGAACUACGGAACUUUUACUUUGAGGAAAUUAGAGUGUUCACGGCAGGCUAUCGCCCGAAUACGUUAGCAUGGAAUAAUGAUAUAGGAUCUCGAUUCUAUUUUGUUGGUUUCUAGAAUUGAGGUAAUGAUUAAUAGGGACAGUCGGGGGCAUUCGUAUCAACACGUCAGAGGUGGAAUUCUUGGAUUGUGUUGCGACGAACUACUGCGAAAGCAUUUGCCAAGGAUGUUUUCAU